GACGGGUGAGUAACGCGUGAGAAUCUGCCUUAUGGUCGGGGACAACCACUGGAAACGGUGGCUAAUACCGGAUGUGCCGAAGGGUAAAAGAUUAAUUGCCAGAAGAAGAGCUCGCGUCUGAUUAGCUAGUUGGUGGGGUAAAGGCUUACCAAGGCGGCGAUCAGUAGCUGGUCUGAGAGGACGAUCAGCCACACUGGGACUGAGACACGGCCCAGACUCCUACGGGAGGCAGCAGUGGGGAAUUUUCCGCAAUGGGCGAAAGCCACACUGGGACUGAGCAAUACCGCGUGAGGGAGGAAGGCUCUUGGGUCGUAAACCUCUUUUGUCAGGGAAGAAGAAAGUGACGGUACCUGACGAAUCAGCAUCGGCUAACUCCGUGCCAGCAGCCGCGGUAAUACGGAGGAUGCAAGCGUUAUCCGGAAUUAUUGGGCGUAAAGCGUCCGCAGGUGGCUUUUCAAGUCUGCUGUCAAAGGCCAGGGCUCAACUCUGGUUAGGCGGUGGAAACUGUAGAGCUAGAGUGCAGGAGGGGUAGAGGGAAUUCCCGGUGUAAC
This 551-nucleotide ribosomal RNA is filed under the name Symploca hydnoides M3. RNAcentral describes it as "bacterial SSU rRNA". It matches the Rfam family "Bacterial small subunit ribosomal RNA", at positions 100 to 679 of the family's 1533-position model. The record is from RNAcentral. Lineage: Bacteria; Bacillati; Cyanobacteriota; Cyanophyceae; Coleofasciculales; Coleofasciculaceae.